This is a transfer RNA of Neofusicoccum parvum, 72 nucleotides long. It matches the Rfam family "tRNA". Rfam says of the family: Transfer RNA (tRNA) molecules are approximately 80 nucleotides in length. Their secondary structure includes four short double-helical elements and three loops (D, anti-codon, and T loops). The record is from Rfam. Lineage: Eukaryota; Fungi; Ascomycota; Dothideomycetes; Botryosphaeriales; Botryosphaeriaceae.
GGCCGCGUGGCCCAAUGGCAAGGCGCUUGACUACGAAUCAAGAGAUUCCAGGUUCGACCCCUGGCGCGGUCA